UUAAUUUUGAUUUAAUUUUUAUGUUAAAUAUAUGUAUUGAUUAAUAAAGCAUUUAGAUAAGUCAGUGAUUGUAUCUCAUUUUUCUUUCGCUGCUUGUGCGUAUAUAUAAACAUUUAUUUAGUUAUUAGUUUAUUAUUAAGUAUCUUUCUAUUUUCUUAUACACAGACAGUAUAAAAGAGUUCAGGAGAGAGUCGGAACAGAGAAAAACGAAAAAAAAGGAUAGUCACUCGCGAAGAGGAAGAUGCAAGUCAAACGAAUUGAGAGAAGAUAUAUGUAUGUGAUCCCUUGUUAUCAAAUAAGAGAAAAGAGAGGUAACGGCGCACAUGCAGUGCUGUUGGGACAUUUUUUCGCGAAAGGAGACUUUCUGCAUAUACAUAGAGUGACGUAGCAGUUAUGCCUGUUAUGGAAUAUCGUAUAUCUAAUACGAGACAUCUUUCUCUUUCUAAUUUUCUCACACAAUAACUUUCUCACGCAAAUCAGCAGUCUAUAUAUAAGUCUAUGUCCUGAACCUAUUGGAUAGUGCGAUCUGUGCAUUCGUGAAGUAUUGUAGAGCGAAAUUGUAGAGCGUAAUUGUAGAGCGAAAACAUAAACUUCUACUUCUGCAAAAUACUGAUAAAUCAGUAAUGGAUAGAUACAACGCAAUAAUUCUGACAUUAUUAGAUGACGAUAUUUUCUUUAUGUAGUCUUAAAAAAAUAUUGGGUCUGUAAAAUAUAUUGUAUAAUGGUUGGUUUCCAACAAGAGACACAAGUCGACACAAGUAUCAUUCUAUCUUUGUUACUCACUAAAUGUGGAACAAAGAUAGAAUGAUGUUUGUGUCGACUUGUGUCUCUUGUUGGAAAGCAAGCAAUUUAUUAAUAAGGUUAAUGAAGUAAAUAGUUGAAACCGUGAAGUUACAUAUUAUAUGUUAUUAAAUUAAUACUAACCACUUUUCAAUAAUCCGUGUAUUUCUCUAGUAUUCGUUAACUAGUAUUCAUUAGAAAGCAUUAUUGUACAUAUACUAUAUUUCUUCAUACAUUUUAUCACUCAUCAGGGGCUUGAUUCUUGACGGUAUGCGAAUGAAAAGUGAAAAUGCAAAAAGUGAGCGAAUUUAUUAGAAUAUUUAUAAUUUUAUUAGUCAACGUCGUAAAAUUACGCAAUAAAAUGGGACGAUUUGAUUAAUUUAAAUCGUGACACGACGGACGACACGACGCUUGACACGCUAAAACCGGGUACAGACUUGUUGCGUAUCUGGGAUAUUCGUAUAACAAACUGGGAAACUCACGAUGAUACGUAUGGAUAUUACAUAUACGCCAUGAUGACAUGGGAAGCAAAUUUGGUCGCGUUACACCGUAUCGUAUUAACGUUUGUAACGUUACGAUGAUACGUUACGAGGAUACGCAACAAGUCUGUACCUGGCUUAAGGCUGCGUUCCGAAAUUCAUUGCCAGUGCUGAAAUUCUGUAGUAUACCUAACAUGAACUAUAAAUUUUCAAUACUGGCAGUGAACUUCAGAACGCAGUUUAGGAUGCGUUCAGAUUCUUCAUCCGGGCAUUUUAUUACUAGAACUCUCUAGUAUAUGUUACAUAUAUUACAGCACUUCUAGUAAUAAAAUACACCCGGGUGUGGGAACUCAGACUGUCGAUUGGCUCUCCUAAAGCCUCCAAUUUCUAUUGAGCAACCAGUUAGAAUCUCCGAUGUAGCAUAUAUGAACUUUAGAAUCUUCUGAUCGCUGCUUAUUCUGCAUUCAGUUCAGUGUGUUGCGUUCAGCUUAUAACAUCCGUUAGUAUCAAGAGAUGUAAUGUCUCGUGCCAAGUUUAAGGGGCGAAACGAAACGGCGUAAGACCGGCCGCGUACUUACGCCGUUCAGCUACCUACUUGUUCAGCACAAGCAAGAUUUCUUGUUCGGCUUCAAACUAUACCAUGUGCCGGUUUCUCCAGGUGCCUGAGCGUUGCGAGGGACAGGGUCAACUUUACCACGUAGUCCAAUGUACCAAAUGGAAUAUUAUCACGUAUAGCAAAAAAGUAUAUUAUUUAUUAGAUCUGUAAAGUUAUCAGUGAGUAAUAAAAUAUUUCAAUAAAUUUUUAAAUAUAAAAUUUUAGCGUCUAUUUGUCAAAAUAGCUUUAUGUAAUUUAACUUAAUCUAAGAUAAGAAAUAAAAUCACAGUACUUAUAAAAAAUACUGGCUUACAAAAUUUAGUAAUAAUUCUCGAAAAUAAACAGCCAGAUAUUAAUUUAUCACUGCAAUUGAAACAAUUAAAACUUUUCACAUAUGCUAUUGUCUCGUUUGAGAUGCAGUCUACGUCUUCCCAUUGUUAUAAAGUCGUCUUAACAAAUAAUUUAUAAACCAUCUUAGUAGCUAACAAAAAUUUAACAACUUAUCGCAAUAUUUUAUUAGAAAUCUAAAUAAUAUUCUUUUUUCGCGAUGAUGUUCAAUUUAACCAUGUGGUGUAGUCGGCACUAUCUUUCGUGGCACUUAGAUUCCUAGAGACCGCAUUCGGAUACUGGUAAUUCAGCAUCCUAUGAUCUUAAAUAUAAAAUUCAAAUAUCUAUGAAUAUAUACCCUAAAAGUUAUCGAUUUGAGACGGGAUUUAAAAUAAAAAUGUUUAAUAAUCCACCUACUUAUUUAAUAACCUACCGUCGGUAAGUUUUAUAUCAAAUUGGCAUUGAUAAUAACUGUAUAAAUGUAGUUUUACAAUUAUAAAUUUUUGUACACAAUGAUAAAACAUUAUGAUAACUAUAAAUUAUAAGAUUAACAUUUUAUUAUGCACUGAGUGUCCAGGUACUCACAUCGGAUAACUAAAACUUGUCGAUAAUGUCAUCCUUCUGCAAUUUAUCUCCGGACCCUUCGGGGUCCGUUGUUCGGGUUUCGUGCGACGAAAAUUUGCUUAUAGUCGGUGAUUUAGGCACUACCUCGUUGGUUCUACUUAAAAAAGGUAGAUGGCUAUAGUUUAAAUUCAAAAUGGCGAUAUUCCAAUAUGGCUAAUAUGAAGCUACACAUUAGUGUCAUUUUCUUUAUUUUCACUUAUAAUGAUUUAUUAUUCACUUAUAAUGAAAAAAUCUAUGGAAAGAAUAACUGGAAACGAUAAGGUAUAUUUAUAUAUUUAUUGUAACAUAUACCAUUUAUGCCGUAAUAUAUUUUAUGAACACGAUGUUUUACAACAGUACAAUUUCUUUAUUUUUUUUAUAAUAAAUAUAUCUUCAAAGAGAAGUUUAUUGCAACAUUCGCUAAUACAGUAAUAUCAGUGCUUGUCUUUUAGUCAUUCUAAAAUCGCAAAACAAUCAUUCUUAUUUAAUAUGGAGUUCUUGAAUAUAAAGUAGACACAAUCUCCACGUGGUUUGCCACCACGUGGGCGCUGCCAGUAGCACUAGAAUUCGGAUCGUAUUGUGAAAAAGUGGAAAAACAGCAAAAUUAAAGAACAACACAAUGGAGGAUACAGGAAUGCAGUGUCGGAUGUGUAUGUGCGUGGUUUGUGUGAAAUUACGGAUAAAUACGGUAAAAGUGUCAUCAACAUAUGAAGAAUGUAAUGCAGGAGAUGCGUGCAGGAGAGUGAAGUACAUUGAAGUGAUAUUGAAAGUGACAAUUUUUGUGUGUGAUUUUUGGGAAUAUUUUUUAUUAAUGUGUGUGAUUUCUUCGACUUCAACUCUUUUGCACCAUAUCACAUUUUUCACUACUUGGGGCUAUCCGGCUACAUGAGUCUACAUGAGUCGGAUGAGGAUUCAACAUAUUCAUUAUCAAGACCCAGGGAUCGCGGAUAGGUGGAAGCUCCAGUGGAUUGAUAAGCAUCGUUGUCAACCUGUUCCAGGUUCUCUCUCUUCAUAAGAGAAGCAACGGAAUUUUCCUAAUUGCCCUUGAGGAAUUCCGGACGUGCAGCAGAGAAACGCGUCAUGUACGAAGGAAUCGGCCUCGCAUCGGCGAAAGGACGCACCUGCACGCGGUUGUUCGCAGCUGGUCGCUUGGCCGAUUUCGCGACGAUCAGAUUCGAUUCCUGCACGGCUUUUCCAGCGAAGGGUAGAGAACAGAGUGGCGGGAAGAUAACCACUGUACACUCACGUAUGUAAAGUUGGUGAAUUCAAGUAAAAUCUGAGUUUGUGAUAGCUGCGGAUGAAAGACGGAGCGGAGUCGAGGAAUUGUGGACUGGAGGACCGGAGUGAAGGAUUUUACAGCUCGAUCGAGGAAUAGAGCCACACAAUUCACAAUGUUUUUCGCGUGUUCGCCAACUGUUAUUGGCCGAAAAAGGAUCAUGUGCGAGGCUCCAUUUAUCGUCACGCGGUGCUAUGAGGGCGGCCUGUAAAAAUAAAGCAGACAGAGGGGCUCUGGCGGGUGGCUGCAGGAGAAAGAAAACUGAAAGAAAGAGAGAGCGAAGGGAGGGAGAGGGAGUAUACACUAACAAGUGGUCAGUUUACAAUGUGUACGUCGGCAAUUUAAACUUUUGCGACUUGGUCAGUGGCAGUCGAACGACGCGGCGCUGUGCUGCCGCGGCAAAAACAUCCGUAGGAUGGGCGCCGUUCUGCCAGGUGUUGCCUCUUUGUUUGCAUAAAGAGGGUAUUGGCAGCGGUAUCCUGUUUGGUGAGGUGUUCGUUUAAAUGGGAUUACGCCGGGACAUUGGUCGCGGUUUCUCGCGGAUGUUAUCUGAUGCCGCGAGAUAUCACGUCGUGAUACAAAUCGCGAGUAAUUGCGGACGUCGUUGCUCAGAAUCGCUCGAAGAAAUAAUGGACUCGCCGGUGCGACUUCUCCUCACGACCGAUUUCGUUUAAAUUUAAUGGUGAGACGGACGCUCACCGUUAAAAUUCCACGGUGGUCAUCGAAGUUUUCCAAUUUAUCCUUUGACCUUCCGCGGACUUUAGCAAUCAUUCGCGGCGCUCUUUGAAUACCUCGAGCUAAUACGUAACUCGCCGUUUCAUUAUUCAUUCGUUCUGCAUGCACUGUUGAAAGGUCAAUAAAUUAUUUCUGCAUGAUCUUGUAAACUGUCAAUGUUAAUGAGAUAUCGUACUGAUCGUACCUUGAAGUUAAACCACUUUGCAUGGCAAGAAAAUACUGUCGUGUCAACAGUAUUGCUGCACUCAUAAUUGAGAGAAAUCUUUUUGGCAAUAUUAUUAAACUAAUAUAUUAUAUAAAUUAUAUAAUAUAUUAUAUACUAAUAUAUUAUAUAAUAUACUAAUUAU
Long non-coding RNA from Odontomachus brunneus, 5142 nucleotides. RefSeq lists it as uncharacterized. The record is from RefSeq and is a predicted model, not a curated record. The transcript has 3 exons. Lineage: Eukaryota; Metazoa; Arthropoda; Insecta; Hymenoptera; Formicidae.